UGGUGCGCAGGCGGCGCGUGGAUUUGCGUGACAAGCUGGAACGCCGCUUCGGUGUCGUGCUGCACGAACGCUUGGCUGGCAAGGUACUGGCAAAGCUCGGACCGUCAGCUCUCGGGCGUCCGCGCCAUCCACAGGCCGACGAGUCAGUUAGUUUGAUUCGACGACCUUGAAGGUAACAGCAGAAUGCGAACAUUCCCGGUUUCACUUCCUAGCUCCAAGUCACGCCAUGCGAACCAUCGCUACGACUGUACUG
This 253-nucleotide unclassified non-coding RNA is filed under the name Hevea brasiliensis (rubber tree). The record is from RNAcentral. Lineage: Eukaryota; Viridiplantae; Streptophyta; Magnoliopsida; Malpighiales; Euphorbiaceae.